GACGAACGCUGGCGGCGUGCUUAACACAUGCAAGUCGAACGGAAAGGCCCUGCUUUUGUUGUGUGCUCGAGUGGCGAACGGGUGAGUAACACGUGAGUAACCUGCCCUUGACUUUGGGAUAACUUCUGGAAACUGUGGCUAAUACCGCAUAGCAGCUCCUGCUGCAUGGUGUUGGUUGGAAAGUUUCGGUGGCUUGGGUUGGACUCGCGGCUUCUCUGCUUGUUGGAGGGGUAGUGGCUUAGCAUGGCGUUGGCGGGUAGCCGGCCUGAGAGGGUGACCGGCCCCAUUGGGCCUGAGAUAGGGCCCAGACGCCUACGGGAGGCAGCGGUGGGGAUCAUUGCACAAUGGGCGGCAGCCUGAUGCAGCAACGCCGCGUGCGGGAUGACGGCUGUCGGGUUGUAAACCGCGUUCGCCUGUGACGAAGCGUGAGUGACGGUAACGGGUAAGGAAGCAACGGCUAACUACGUG
This 468-nucleotide ribosomal RNA is filed under the name uncultured bacterium. RNAcentral's name for it is "partial 16S ribosomal RNA". It matches the Rfam family "Bacterial small subunit ribosomal RNA", at positions 28 to 507 of the family's 1533-position model. The record is from RNAcentral.